GUCGAGAAUUUUUCACAAUGGGGGAAACCCUGAUGGAGCGACGCCGCGUGGGGGAUGAAGGGCUUCGGCCUGUAAACCCCUGUCAUUUGCGAACAAAGCUCAUGAUUUAAAAGAUGAUGAGUUGAUAGUAGCGAAAGAGGAAGGGACGGCUAACUCUGUGCCAGCAGCCGCGGUAAUACAGAGGUCCCGAGCGUUGUUCGGAUUCACUGGGCGUAAAGGGUGCGUAGGUGGUGGGGCAAGUCUGGUGUGAAAGCUCGCAGCUCAACUGCGAAAUGGCACUGGAAACUGCCCUGCUGGAGGGUUGGAGGGGGGACUGGAAUUCUCGGUGUAGCAGUGAAAUGCGUAGAGAUCGAGAGGAACACCAGUGGCGAAGGCGGGUCCCUGGACAACACCUGACACUGAGGCACGAAAGCUAGGGGAGCAAACAGGAUUAGAAACCCGGGUAGUCC
RNAcentral lists this ribosomal RNA (449 nucleotides) under uncultured bacterium. RNAcentral describes it as "bacterial SSU rRNA". It matches the Rfam family "Bacterial small subunit ribosomal RNA", at positions 354 to 796 of the family's 1533-position model. The record is from RNAcentral.